UUCACUUAAAAAUUGUGCUGUAUGUUAUCCAUUUAUAUAGUGAAACUACAAGUGAAAUUGCAAUAAAUAGUAAUUAUAUGAUUUCGUUGAGCUGACAUAGCCUAACAAGAAUUGGACUAUAUCUUAAUCACUUGAAAAAGUUGAUCAAAAUGCAAGAGUUAUACAAGUUUUUAAUGUAAUUGAACAAGAUCCUACUCAUGUCAUUUUUUAGGAUAUGUUUCUUGGUUGAAGCUCUUAUCUUAUAUGACAAAUAAGAUAAGAGCCUCAGGUAUGUCAUAACUGAUACAAGGAAGAGGGUAUAUCGAUUGACUGUCCAUUGCCUAACAUCUAUAGGACAUUAACUGAUCAAGAUUGCCCACAAAUUAAUAUUGAUGAAGUACAUAACAAGAUUAAUAGAUAUAAAGCAGUUAUGAGAAAAAUAUACAUCAAAAAAUUUGAAUUGCUACUUAAAAAAUAAGUGCGAAAAAUACACGUAGAAAGUCUUCUUCUGAAUAGUGUUCUAACAACAAUAGGAAAUGUUCAACUUCCGAACUACGUAUAGGACUUAUUCACAAGAGAUCCCACUACUAUGGUCCUCUUUAAGAUAGAACACCCAAAGAUGAAGUGCAGUCAUAGAAAACUUAAUCAUGAGAUUAGACUCAGAAAAUAGAGAUCGUGAAAGAUGGAAAUAUAUCAUGGCCCAUAGAAGAUAUUGACAAUCAUGAAAAUAUGAGGAACAAUGGAGAAUGUGAUUCAAACUAGUAACAACAAGACAGCAAUUAAAAAGCAAUAACCUCAAAUGUACAAAAGAUGACAAGUUGAACAAAUUUGUUAUUCUUCCUAAUGAUACACGACACAAUUUUAUGGGACUAUGUAAAGACAUCUGAUGUAGAUCUUUUAUCCGCAGACCCAGUUCAUAGCUAAUACCAUACAAAAACUGAUGCAUAGGCUUGAUUCCUUGAAACAUGGAAAGUCAAAUUAUCACAUAAUCCCUCAUGUCCACCAUUAUAUGGACUUGUUAAGACUCAAACAACCAGUAAUCAAUGGUUGAUAAAUCACAUUCACCACUUACUCCCUUGGAGAAGAAACUAACAUAGUGUUUAAUGAAAAUGACAGACUACAUGUGCACAGUGAACUCUUCAAAAUUCCUGCAAUGUUUAACUUCUCAUAAUCUACAAGAAACAGAUACAUUUAUUGUCGCAGAUUAUUCAGAACUUCUUCCCAUCCAUAAGUUUAGCCCCAGCAUGCCUAUUUUAUACAGAUUUUUGUUUUGAGAAUUCACAGAGGAUGGCAGUCACAUCUUGUCUUUUAACAGACUUCUGCCACUUAAUAGCAUUUAAUUCAGUUUAUCUAUAUAAAGAGUCUUAUUUCAAACAAAAUGUAGGAGUCCCAAUAGCUGGUUCAAUGAUAGGUAACAUGGCUGAACUAGUUAUUAAGGGUAAGGAACAAACUGUCCUAUCCAUUGUAAACAUACAUACAUCUCAUGCUAAGGUACAUGGAUGAUGUAUUUGUCAUCUCUGAUAAAAUUACAUUUACACCAAAUAUGUUGUCUUCCUUUAUAGAUCACUCCUUGGGUUUACAUCUUAAAAUUGAGCAAUAGUCCAAGCAUAACAUAGAUGCAGAUAUUGUAAUAAAAGACAGAACAUUUUAUAUAUCAGCCUAUAGAAAAGAUAUUU
RNAcentral lists this long non-coding RNA (1655 nucleotides) under Androctonus crassicauda. Lineage: Eukaryota; Metazoa; Arthropoda; Arachnida; Scorpiones; Buthidae. The record is from RNAcentral.